This 1159-nucleotide long non-coding RNA is filed under the name Homo sapiens (human). RNAcentral's name for it is "HSALNT0342204". The record is from RNAcentral. Lineage: Eukaryota; Metazoa; Chordata; Mammalia; Primates; Hominidae.
AGGCCCCUUCCUUGCCUCUUCCAGCUUCUGGUGGCCCCAGGCCAUCCCUGGCUUGCAGAUACGUGGCUCCCAUCUCUGCCUCGGUCUUCACAUGGGGCCUCCCGUCUAUGUCUCUCUGUGUGUCCCGUCCUCUUUUUACAGGGACACCAGUCAUUGGAUAAGGGCUAAUGAUCCUAAUCCAGUGUGAGCUCAUCUUAAUUAAUUACAUCUGCAAAUGCCCCAUCUCCAGUUGCAGAGUCAAACCCAUCCUGGUAUCAACCUGCUUUUAGUACUUCCAGAUUCGUAAGUCAAGAAAUCCUCCUUCCUGCUUGUACCAGUUGGCAGUGGGUUUUCUGGCAUUUGUACCUGCUGCUCCAGGCCCUACACCAGUACCCACAAAGUCCAGAAGAGGAGUGAGAUGAUUUUUGUUCCCACACACUGAGUGAGAGCUCCAAGGCUGAUUUUGACCGGAUGUUCUCAAUCCAGGCAACCACCAUUCUACUCUCUGUUUGAAUGAGUUUGAAACAUCCACAUCUGAGUGAGGUCAAUGCCGGUGAACAGAGAGACAGAGGGAAAGAAUUUCAGAAUAUCCUUAAAAAUCGCAGCACCUGGCAGAUCCUGCCUCACACCUCAAGGGCCUGUGUGGGGUCCUAGGUUCAUCCCUGAUCCAUCUCAGAGGUGCGGCGAUCACUGAUCCAUCUCGGAGACUUUUGAGCUUGGACCUGACAUUUGCCACUUCCUCUCCUCCUCACUGGAGACAGAGUGCAAUCUGUUUCUGCAAAGCAAGAGCACUUUAAGAGGGUGGAAGGGCACUCAUCUGUGUCAGGGUCAUGUCUGUGUGCAGAUCCCCCAAGGUCAUUGUUGAGAGAAAGGGGAAGAUGUUGGGGAGGCCGGGCAAGCAUGUGCCGGCUACCCUCACACUUGCACAUAGCAUAUGUCAAGUCACCUAAAGGAAACCUGAAUGAUAUGAUCAGAGACUCUGCAUAGGAUUACUUACUGGUGGUGCCCUGGGUUGAACACAGAGGUCGCCAAAGCAGGACCAGCCAUCAUGGCGAUAGAGGCCCCAUGCAGAUAAACCCUGUGCAUGAAAAACCUAGGAUUUUAGAACAAAUUGAGAAGGAGGUCAGGCAUUCAAGACCAGCCUGGCCAACAUGGUGAAACCCCGUCUCUACUAAAAAUA